This 78-nucleotide transfer RNA is filed under the name Candidatus Atribacteria bacterium RBG_16_35_8. RNAcentral's name for it is "tRNA-His". It matches the Rfam family "tRNA". From Rfam's summary of the family: Transfer RNA (tRNA) molecules are approximately 80 nucleotides in length. Their secondary structure includes four short double-helical elements and three loops (D, anti-codon, and T loops). The record is from RNAcentral. Lineage: Bacteria; Pseudomonadati; Atribacterota. RNAcentral also lists the same sequence under 10 other names.
GUGGGCGUAGCUCAGACUGGUUAGAGCCCUGGAUUGUGGCUCCAGAGGUCGGGGGUUCAAAUCCCCUCGCUCACCCCA